This is a long non-coding RNA of Bos taurus (domestic cattle), 325 nucleotides long. NCBI's taxonomy places the organism in Eukaryota, Metazoa, Chordata, Mammalia, Artiodactyla, Bovidae. The record is from Ensembl.
GAGGCAGAAGAGUGAUGAGGUGAAAGGGAAGUCAAAGAGAUUCCAACCCUUGUGGGCUCUGGAAGAUGCUUAUACUCCGCAGAGGGAAAGAAAACUGAUCCAUGAAGUUGCUAUUUGCAUAAAACACAGAAGCAUCUGUCAUAGACUCCUUUCUGGUUGAGUCUGGCAUCCAGGGAUCACUCAGCUGGUCUGCCUCAGCACUGGGCUCCCAUGAAGGCAAAGGGUCCCCAGUGAGGACUGCAUCCAGGUGCAAGCUUGCUUUGGAAAAUUUUGUUGUACUUUACACAUAACCCAGAUAAAAAGAAACCUACACGGAAUCCUCCUC